Diabrotica virgifera virgifera (western corn rootworm) is the source of this 809-nucleotide long non-coding RNA. RefSeq lists it as uncharacterized. The record is from RefSeq and is a predicted model, not a curated record. Lineage: Eukaryota; Metazoa; Arthropoda; Insecta; Coleoptera; Chrysomelidae. The transcript is spliced from 3 exons.
AAUUGCGUACUUGUGUUUCGAGUUGCGUGGUCGUGCGGAGUUAUAUUUACCAAAUUUAAAUAUAAUCGUUUUCAAAAUUAAAUCAAUAUGUCAAUAUGGCUACUGGGUGUAAAAGAUAAAUCUUAUUCUAUCUGUUCUUAAUGAGUUUUAGAUAGUUUUAGUUGUAUUUCUUUGUAAUUUUGUGUUGUACAAAGAUUAAUUUAACAUUUUCUCUGGAAGUAUUAAUUUAGAAAGAUAAUAUGCUUCAUUGGUGUUGUGUUUUGAAGUGUGAAAUGCAAAGUAAUUGUGAUAAAGUCAAGAUAAAGUUCACUUUUAAACUGAACUAAAUAAGGUAUCUGAGAGACAACAAUGGUUAAAUGCAAUACAAUGUACAGGUUUUACUAGCGAAAUGAAAAUUUUCCUGUCCUGUCUGCUGUAAUCAUUUUAUAUCUGGAAAACCAGCCGACUUAAUCGAUAAUAACAAUCUCCAGAUUGGGUUCCUUCAAUAAAUAUGGUCUAUAAACACAAUGAAAUAAGUUCCCCAAAAUCUAAAAUGGAGUGGUAUCAAAGGAGAAUUAAAGGGAAAAAUAUUCAUAUUGAAAUUAUUUAUAAGGCACUGGACUGUCUUAAAUUCUACAAUAAUACUAGAAUCAGCUGAGAGAAGUGGUCUACAAAAAACCAGGAAGGAAACGGAAUAUGUGGCUACGAAAGGCAAAAGAAAGGUUUACAAAGCAAAUGUGACACAUUUUUUUGAAAUAUUUAGGAAUAUCAGUAAAUUGCAUUAAACAAAUGUAUGAAAAGAUUUUGUUCAAUAAAAAUGUUUAUAUUUA